Molecule: ribosomal RNA, 1017 nt
Filed under: Microbacterium sp. MR67
Lineage: Bacteria; Bacillati; Actinomycetota; Actinomycetes; Micrococcales; Microbacteriaceae
Description: bacterial SSU rRNA
Rfam family: Bacterial small subunit ribosomal RNA
Source: RNAcentral
GUCGAACGGUGAAGCCCAGCUUGCUGGGUGGAUCAGUGGCGAACGGGUGAGUAACACGUGAGCAAUCUGCCCCUGACUCUGGGAUAAGCGCUGGAAACGGCGUCUAAUACUGGAUAUGAGCUGCGACCGCAUGGUCAGUAGUUGGAAAGAUUUUUCGGUUAGGGAUGAGCUCGCGGCCUAUCAGCUUGUUGGUGAGGUAAUGGCUCACCAAGGCGUCGACGGGUAGCCGGCCUGAGAGGGUGACCGGCCACACUGGGACUGAGACACGGCCCAGACUCCUACGGGAGGCAGCAGUGGGGAAUAUUGCACAAUGGGCGGAAGCCUGAUGCAGCAACGCCGCGUGAGGGAUGACGGCCUUCGGGUUGUAAACCUCUUUUAGCAAGGAAGAAGCGAAAGUGACGGUACUUGCAGAAAAAGCGCCGGCUAACUACGUGCCAGCAGCCGCGGUAAUACGUAGGGCGCAAGCGUUAUCCGGAAUUAUUGGGCGUAAAGAGCUCGUAGGCGGUUUGUCGCGUCUGCUGUGAAAUCCCGAGGCUCAACCUCGGGCCUGCAGUGGGUACGGGCAGACUAGAGUGCGGUAGGGGAGAUUGGAAUUCCUGGUGUAGCGGUGGAAUGCGCAGAUAUCAGGAGGAACACCGAUGGCGAAGGCAGAUCUCUGGGCCGUAACUGACGCUGAGGAGCGAAAGGGUGGGGAGCAAACAGGCUUAGAUACCCUGGUAGUCCACCCCGUAAACGUUGGGAACUAGUUGUGGGGACCAUUCCACGGUUUCCGUGACGCAGCUAACGCAUUAAGUUCCCCGCCUGGGGAGUACGGCCGCAAGGCUAAAACUCAAAGGAAUUGACGGGGACCCGCACAAGCGGCGGAGCAUGCGGAUUAAUUCGAUGCAACGCGAAGAACCUUACCAAGGCUUGACAUACACCAGAACGCCCUAGAAAUAGGGAACUCUUUUGGACACUGGUGAACAGGUGGUGCAUGGUUGUCGUCAGCUCGUGUCGUGAGAUGUUGGGGUUAAGUCC